AUGUUUCAUGCAUCAUGAUUAUGCAAUAGGAUGACUGCAUUAGUUUCACGAAUAUGCCGCAUUGCAUAAAUUGUUGUUGUUGUGGGUGAAUGUUGGAUGACCCAAUUAGUCCAAGACAGGAAGACCAGGCCCCAUGCUACAGGCCUGGCACAGAGUAAGCAAGUCCAGGCCCCAGUCUACAGGCCUGGCACAGAGUAAGGUACGGUUAUGGGACUUGAAGACCAGGAGCCAGAGGAGGCCCUAGGAAAAUGGUAAGUAAUGUAUGUUCUGACAGGAAAGACCAGGACCCCAUU
This 293-nucleotide long non-coding RNA is filed under the name Manihot esculenta (cassava). RNAcentral's name for it is "long non-coding RNA (MESC_LNC008155)". The record is from RNAcentral. Lineage: Eukaryota; Viridiplantae; Streptophyta; Magnoliopsida; Malpighiales; Euphorbiaceae.